ACUCAAAGGAAUAGACGGGGGCUCACACAAGCGGUGGAGCAUGUGGCUCAAUUCGAAGCAACGCGAAGAACCUUAUCCUGGACUUGACAUGGUAGAAGUAGGACCCAGAAAUGGUUACGACCGGUAUCCAAUCCGGAACUAUCACAGGUGCUGCAUGGCUGUCGUCAGCUCGUGCUGUGAAGUGUCGGGUUAAGUCCCAUAACGAGCGAAACCCUUAUCGUUAGUUGCCAGCGGGUCAUGCCGGGCACUCUAACGAGACUGCCGGUGUUAAACCGGAGGAAGGCGGGGAUGACGUCAAGUCCUCAUGGCCUUUAUGUCCAGGGCUGCACACGUGCUACAAUGCCGAUGACAAACCGAAGCAAGACCGUAAGGUGGAGCAAAUCGGAUAAAAAUCGGCCCAGUUCAGAUUGAGGGCUGCAACUCGCCCUCAUGAAGUUGGAAUCGCUAGUAAUCGCGGAUCAGCUACGCCGCGGUGAAUGUGUUCCUGAGCCUUGUACACACCGCCCGU
This 508-nucleotide ribosomal RNA is filed under the name uncultured bacterium. RNAcentral's name for it is "partial 16S ribosomal RNA". It matches the Rfam family "Bacterial small subunit ribosomal RNA", at positions 899 to 1397 of the family's 1533-position model. The record is from RNAcentral.